RNAcentral lists this ribosomal RNA (301 nucleotides) under uncultured bacterium. RNAcentral describes it as "partial 16S ribosomal RNA". It matches the Rfam family "Bacterial small subunit ribosomal RNA", at positions 509 to 807 of the family's 1533-position model. The record is from RNAcentral.
CAGCCGCCGCGGUAAUACGGAGGGGGCUAGCGUUGUUCGGAAUUACUGGGCGUAAAGCGCACGUAGGCGGCUUUGUAAGUUAGAGGUGAAAGCCCGGGGCUCAACUCCGGAAUUGCCAUUAAGACUGCAUCGCUUGAAUCGCGGAGAGGUGAGUGGAAUUCCGAGUGUAGAGGUGAAAUUCGUAGAUAUUCGGAAGAACACCAGUGGCGAAGGCGGCUCACUGGACGCGUAUUGACGCUGAGGUGCGAAAGCGUGGGGAGCAAACAGGAUUAGAUACCCCCGUAGUCCCUGUCUCUUAUAC